RNAcentral lists this ribosomal RNA (253 nucleotides) under uncultured bacterium. RNAcentral's name for it is "partial 16S ribosomal RNA". It matches the Rfam family "Bacterial small subunit ribosomal RNA", at positions 524 to 776 of the family's 1533-position model. The record is from RNAcentral.
UACGUAGGGUGCGAGCGUUAUCCGGAAUUACUGGGCGUAAAGCGUGCGUAGGCGGAUUUUUAAGUCGAAUGUUAAAUCUACAGGCUCAACUUGUAGGCUGCAUUCGAUACUGGAAGUCUUGAGAGUGGAAGAGGCAGAUGGAAUUCUCGGUGGAGCGGUUAAAUGCGUAGAUAUCGAGAGGAACACCAAUGGCGAAGGCAAUCUGCUGGGCCACUUCUGACGCUAAGGCACGAAAGCGUGGGGAGCGAUCGGG